This is a non-coding RNA of Anas platyrhynchos (mallard), 13498 nucleotides long. NCBI's taxonomy places the organism in Eukaryota, Metazoa, Chordata, Aves, Anseriformes, Anatidae. The record is from RefSeq and is a predicted model, not a curated record.
CAAGCCCCACCUGACCUCCCGAGUCCCAUCACUAAACCAGGUCUCCUAGUGCCACCUCCUGCCUCAGCCAAGACUUCGUUAGCAUGUAAUUGUCUCAGCACCUCGAAUCUCCUCCUUUGUACCCCGUCUGGCACUGCAGCCAGUUAAACAGCUCCCUGGGAAAGGGAACAGGCACCAAAAACACCUUCUCCUUUCUGACGUCUUCCACCACCUGCCCUCCCUCUUGAAGCCACGCCAGGUAUUUUUGGCAGCGGUGACAUCAGGGAACUUAUGACUGCUGGCAGUGCUUUACAAGUGCCUAGGUGGUUGGCUCAGGGCAGGUAGUUUUAGUUUCUCUGUUCUUUAAGGAGGCUUAAGCGAGCUCCACAGGCUUUUCCAUGGAAAAAUGUCUUUACCCCAAGGGGUGGCAGAUAGGCAAUGCACCUUGCAGAAUCGCUGCUUGGGAGGUGCUUGGGUUCCCUGCAGCAUAACCCAGGCUGGAGCCUGGGCUGUGUGCUGGUGAGAGCCCGAGCAGGCACCCAGUCCUAGAAAUCUUUUAUACCUUCCUUGAUCUCAUCUUUUCUUUUCUUUUCUUUUCUUUUCUUUUCUUUUCUUUUCUUUUCUUUUCUUUUCUUUUCUUUUCUUUUCUUUUCUUUUCUUUUCUUUUCUUUUCUUUUCUUUUCUUUUCUUUUCUUUUCUUUUCUUUUCUUUUCUUUUCUUUUCUUUUUCUUUUUCUUUUUCUUUUUCUUUUUCUUUUUCUUUUUCUUUUUCUUUUCAUCUGAGACAGCAGUGCUGAGCCAAUUCAUCUUAUCAAAGGGACUUUGGUACUUUCUACAGUGUGAGACUUCGUCCUUGACAGGACAGCAUGUGCACUCUGUGGAUGGAGCCCAGCGCAUGAGCUCAGGCCUCCAAUGUUGCAUGUAUUGGCACGCUGGUGAGCCCGUGCCAUUAAAUAUUAACACUUAUCUCAAUACUCCUGCUUUGCCCUGGGCCUGAUGCAGGCUCCUUUUCCCUGGAGUGCAGUGGCUGAAUGGUGUGGAGCUGCUGCAGUGCACGGUGCUGGGGGUGGGUGAGGCCUUGAGCUCGUGCCCUGCUUCUGUUUGGGAUGGCCUUAAUCGUUUCUGCGGAGAAGCGGCAACAGCUUGACUUCGGCAGUGAUUACACAGCUACACAAAGAUGCCAAAAGAGUAAUUCUGAGGGGAUGAACAGGACUGUGGAAAUUCACCCCCUGCAUCUUCCUCAGGUUGGUGGAGUCAGGGGAGGUGGGGAAGGUGGGGAUUGACGAUUUGCUGCUUUCCCCCUCUCACACAAACGUCAGAAAUCUCUGAAGAACUGUGCUCAUGUACAAAAGCUAACACAAAUGUGUGCACUCAGGGGAGUCUGAAAGGGAAACGGCCAUUUGGCCCGUUUGUCUUUAUCAUAUUGAUUCAGUCAAGUGCUAUAAAUGGAGGAGAAGCCUUUAAGUCUAAGUACCAGAGCGCUGUGCCCAUUUGAUGUAACGAGCACACUUUCGGGAAACCACCUGCUUUCCAGACUUCUGGGAGGUCAGCUCACGGGCUCGGAUAAAACUUUUUAGCUAGUAGAUGCCUGAAAAGGAAAGAAAAGCCUCUUCUUGCAGGUAUGCAAAUGUGCAGCAGGAUGUGCUUUUGCUGCGGGUGAAUUUCCAAACAAGCCAGAGCUGGCAGCGGCGGGUCCUUGCUGGGUGCCCAGACGUGUCCCACCAUGAUGAGGUCUUGGUGGUGACACGGACAUGCCUUAACCAAAAGUGUUGGCUCAGUGGUGGUGUGAGGAACUGCCCCUUUCAUGGGUAUUUCACAGAAAUUCAAAAACUCUGCACCCUGGAUCACCUCCACGCUCCACCCCUCCCCAGCUGCCAGUGCCUCCGUCUUGAUUUCUGCUCUACAGGAUUUCCUCCUGAGGCUUUCAGGCUUUUGCCCUGAAAAUCAGAGUUGCCUGAGCAAUAUUUUUUUUUUUGUCCCUGCCUACAUGAUGCAACUCCAGCGGGGCGAGAUAACCCCCCCCCUCCAUAAACCCCUCCCAGGCAGGCUGGCUGGCUGCCACUCGUGCUCUGCUUUUUGCAGUUACGCUCAUUUGCCUCGCCAAAGCAAACAUGGCAGAGGCACCUCGUGGCAAAGGCACUUCUCAUGCCACGUGCACUCGCAGCUGUCUGGUCACGGCAUUUGCUGAAUCCUGGUCCUCUGCCAGCUUCCUUCAGGCAUCAGGCAUGGUGGCGCGGCCUCAGAUCUUGCACCUGCCUAAGUGCUGGGCUGGGCGAUGGGAUGGGCUCCAUCCAUCCCACAUCUCCAAACACCCAUCUCUUCUCUACAUCUGCCUCCCACCACCACCUUCUGUCCCUUCUCCCCUCCUGCUUUUUCCUUACUAAUCCGUCCUUCUUUCUCUGGGGACCUGAUUUCUCCCUAUUUCUGCCCAUAUCCCCCUUCUCCCACACUCGGAUUCUCCCUCAGACCAACCUGGCUUUCCUCCCUCUCCUUCUAUCACCAACACUUCAUCAGCUCCUCAUAAGCUGAGGUGACCUUCACAUCCUCCCUCCCAGCCAGGUUGCUUUUCUACAGCAGUUGCACAUUUCCUUUUCGCAUCUUCUCUUUUUGGUGUUCAGCCACUCUUCUUGUGAGCUUCAGGCUACUGCUUCAUUUGGCUCACCUCCUCAUUUUCUCCUGUCUCCCCUCUCUUGACGUUCAUGCUGUUAAUCACUCUUCCCAACUAGUUUCCUUCACUUCCAAAAAGUAGGUUAGCCUGUGCUAGAGUCAAAAACACACCUUCUGUUGAGAGAAAAAGUUAGGAAAGCUCUUUUUGUUAAUAAACAUCCACAAAACACAGUAUUCUCAGUGCUUCUUAAACCAGAAACAAAAAUCAUGGAAAAAGAACAUAUCUUUCAUCUGAAACAAUUAGAAGAUAAUGGCACAGAAUGCUAAAAGAAAAGGAAGGCUGAGGAAGGAUGCUAGGACUGAAGACGAGAGGUCUCAGUACAGCUCUCUUAAAAAAUAAGUUAUCUGGGCAGAACAAUGUCUACCUGCUGGACAGGCAAAAGGUAUCUUAAGAAGUUUGUGAAGUAACCAGGGGAAGAUAAAUACUUGUCAUGAUGAAAAAUACGUGGUGCUAUCAAUAGUACAUAAUGGACUGAGAAUAAGGGUGAGAAGAAGCAUUGAUUCUGUGCCUGGCCGUGCUUUUAUUGAAGUCCAUGACCAAACCCCAGUCAAAAUCUAUAGCAAAAUUCAUUGGGAAACCACAAGACAGCUUUGAUCAGGUUGCAUCUCUGCGGCAUUGAUUUUCAUUUUAAGGUCACUUGACCUUUUUUUCUGGUUCAUUGAUUUUUUGCAGUUGGAUCUUCCUAAAAAAAGUAUCCAGAAGCCAGUCUGUGCCAUGUUACCCCAACAUUUACCUUUCCAGCUCAUUUAAAUAAAAGAGCCAAGGUAAACUUUGAGUAAUCAUUUAUGACUUCUUCUGCCACUCUUCUGUUUGUUUAACUGUGUGCCUGAAGAUACACGUGGAUGGAUGGCUCUUCGGCAGUCACUUCCCUGACCAUUUCCUUGUACCCCCCGCAGCGCUGCCCACGUAAUGGGCCAAGAAAGUCGUAGGAGCGCUGUGAGUCAGGCUCCAAUUUAUUUGCCCAAGUAUCUCUCUCAUUGCCUUGGGAGAAAAUUUGUGCCCAAGUAGGUGUGGACUUCGUCAGCGCCUUUGUGGACCUUUCGGGAAUCAGGCGGCUCAUUACGUGAAAAAAAAUGUAAUAAGCCAUAUGUCUUUAAUGGAUAGCAUAUUCCGGAACACGGCAGCUCAUCUCUCACUGCUGACGUAUUUCAUUUUUUGAUUGGCAUUUUUGAUAAAGGUAUGUAGAGCACCGUAAGUAUGUGAACUUUGCAGACAAUAUUUCUGACACUUCCUUUUUUUCCCACAGAAUUCAAGCAGUUUUGCCCAAAUUCUCUCUGCACCAGGCAUAGUUAGGAGUCAGGUAUAUGGGUAACAGCUGUGUUGAUGAACAUCUGAAUAUAGUUUGGGUGCUUCAUGAGGGACACGUGUCAGUUCCCAGGGUUUUGGCAGUGUCAUUGAUGCUUUGUAACAAGACCAUCAGCGAUUUGGAAGAGGAGCUGCAGCAGCUCUUCAGCCUUGGGUACCUCUGUCAGGCCCACAGCAAAUACUGGAGGGCAGUCACCCUGCACACACCAUCCAGCUCUGCUUCCGCUGAACACAUCGUCAGCAAUUUCCAUGCCAAAUCCCAAGAUAAGGGGUUACUCGCAGUCCCUCAUUGCAUGACCAAGGUCAUUAUCCAGGUUAAAGACCUGGUUAAAAACCCAAGGACUUUAUUCAGCACAGGUUACUCAGAGCCAUGUCUUAAAGCAGCUAGCCUGUAGGUUUGGAGAGAGGCUUCAGCAGACAGAUAUUUUUCAGUCAGGUUUUGCUCAGUUUCCUUCCAUCAGCUUCUUUAUUCUGGAAGGGGAAAUAGUCAGUGCUGAAGAGCAUCAACACCAGCCCAAAUCUUUGUUAUGUUUUAGGAUAACAAACUCAUUAAAUUAAUACCAGGAAUGGAGGAAGGGCUAGUUAGUGAGGUAUGGAAGUGCAGAAGCAUGAAUAUGGGGCACCGUUUUUCCUCCUCUCACCAAAAAUAAAUUAAAUGUCUGUGUUUUUCAUCCAAUAUCAAAGGCUUCUCUGUGAAUCAAAAUGAAGCAUUUUGUUUCAGUGCUUGGAUGAAAAGGAAAAGAAAGGAAGGGCUAGUUUCACAUAGCAGUGGUGCUUUUGGUUGUGCCUAUCAAGUAGCUCAGAGCUUAACAAAGAGCUCUUGCUUCUGCUGUCCUCUUUCCAUGAGAGGGUUUGAAUUGCUUAGGAAGGUGUCCAGCCUCCUGCAUAAUCUGGGACACAAAGGGAACCUCUCCUAAUCUCACCCUGUAGAAAUAGCCAUACAGUUGCAGGAACCUACUCAAAAACACUCAAGACCCAUUUACUAUAAUCUCCUUGAGGAGUUAAAUAGCCUUACCCCACCUUUUUGCUCUUUGGAUCAGAAGAAUGGGAAAUGUCAUGGAAAAUUUCUGCACCAAAAUGAUCACUUCUUGUGAAGUUACUGUUUAGCCAAGGAGCAUCAUUUCUUCAGAUCACUUCCCUGCCUCUGCCUGGCUGCCACCUGGAGACACCAGGGCUCUGGGAACAGCGGAGGACAAGGUAAAUGACACUUCUGCUUUAUCCUGCACCUGUGUUUCACCUACCCUUGUUAGGAAUCCAAGGGAGACUGGAAAAGAUUAUUUUUCUCUCCAAGUGAAAGGGGAGCACCACUUCCACCAUAAUACAAAAUGAAAACAUUACUCCCCUUAAAAAAAUAAAUAAAAAAAUAAAAAAUCUCUGAAAUAUCAAGAGGUAGAUCUGCACGUCCAACCCUGCAGGGCUGAGUCCUCCCUCUUCUGUGGCUUCCCUCUGUGUCCUUCCCAAGCCCAUGUAGCUGCCCUGUGGGGACACCUCGUGGUUCAAGAGGCACCUCUAGUUUGGGUGCUGUUGGCUGGCUUCAGGUAAACUGCACCUCUUCCUGCACAACCUGCACAAAACAUUUUAACUGUUGGUUAAAACUGUUGGUCCCAUCUGGGAGGUGAAACAUGAAGUCAAAUUUGGCGGUGGGAUCUAAACGAGACAAGUCUGGCCUAUAAUUUCUGCCAAAUGCUUACUCUUCUCCUAAUGAUUUUUAGCUGCUAACACCCAUUUCAGACAAAACCCAGAACGCUGCAUGAGAGAUUUGUUCUCCCUGAGUAUCUGUCACUUUUAGGUCACACCAACAGCCAGUUGAUAGAGGGAGGUGAUGUUCCGCUUUCCUUGGCACUUGUUAUGAAUUGUCUGAAUGCUGCACCCAGUUUUGGGGCCCCUGAAUCAAGAACAAUGUUAACGAACUGGAGAGAGCACAGGGGAGACCACCAAGAUGGUGUAUGAGGAGAGGCUGGAUUAGUUCUGCUUGAAGAAGAGGAGGCUUGAGGUAAACCUAAAAGUCAUCUAACAACACCUAUAAGGAGGCUCUGAGAAGACAGAGGCAGGCGCUGUCUUACGGAUGCACAGCAAGGGCACAAGAGACAUGGAUUGAAACAGAGGAGGUUCUCACUAGGUAUUAGGGGAGAAAAAAUCACUACCAGAUUAAUUAAGCGCUGGAGGAUGUUGCCCAGAGAGGCUGCCCAGUGUCCACCCUUGGUUUCAAGACCCAACAAGAUAAAGCUCUGAGCAACGUGGCCUGAUCUUGCCAUUGACAGUUAGGCCAGAGAGUAUCAAAACCAGACCAGAACACGGGCACUUCAUUAAUGGAGACUUUAAUUAAGUUAUUUAUUCUAACACAUGUCUAUUAGGCAUAGAGGGAAAAUUGUUAUUUUUCCUUUCACACUUUUUGUGUCUGUUUAAAAAUUCUGCCCACCUUGAAGCUAUACCAACACUCAUGUUACCCUUCUGGAAGAAGAAACCUUAGUACUCUUCCGACAAAACCACAUCCCUUUCUUCCAAGGACUUAGGAGAGGCAGUAGUCCCUCUGGAACCAACAUGUAUGUGCAUCCACAGAUAUUUUUCCUCUUCUAGAGCUGUGCCUGCCAUGUGUUUGUGGUAAAGACUGGCCUCUGGUUUGUGGUGGUGGCUGGCCGUGGGCAGGGAUGUGACAGAAUCCGGGUGAAGAUCUGCGAGAGUCUCACUGUUGUCAUGCUGAGUGCGAAAGAAGUCUGGGAUGACCUACAGAGGAGAAAAUCUGUUUAUUUUUUUAUACUGGAGAGAGGUGACAUGCUCUUCAUUUCUGGUGCAUUUGUCAUGCUGGCCUCCUGGUGGAAAGCCCAUCUGUCUGAUCUCUUCUUGCAGCUUUCUUUAGCACGAGAGAGACUAAUCAUCUGGGACCAUGUGUUGUUUUUAUGAGAUGUCUCCGGUGCCUGCACAAAACUUCCUUAGCUGCAAAGUCUGCAUGGGCAUUUUUAUCAUGGGCUUGAUCAGCUCAGGUGCAGUAUGACUUACAGAAGCCUUACUGGAUCCAAAUGGAUCCAAGGCAGGUCUGAGGUGCCUGGUGGACCUCAAGUGCAGUCCUCACUGUACUGGGUCUAGUAAAACCACCAUACUCACACACCUACAGCUGAUCCAUUGCACGCAUCCAGAACCCCACCGUCAGCCCUCGUUGUCACCAGACUGCUGCCCCAAGCAGGAAUCUCCAUCCCUCAGCAUGGCUCACCACCUCAGCUUAAGGCAAACAAGCUGUGUAUUUGCUUUGCCAGGGCUGUGUUGUAAAGCCACCAUCUCCCCGUGCGUCACGCAGCUCCGAGGAGGCGGCUGAGCCAAGUGACAUGUGUGUGAACCCAGCCUGUUCGGGAGAAGUCCUGCUCCCUCUCCCUGCGUGACCUCGAGGUCUUUCCGUUCCUGUUAUUGCCUAUAUAAAACCAUAUAUAUUUUUUUCCCCUCAGAGAUUUGUAUUUGCUUUAUUACUAAAACAAAUAAUCUACUUGGGAAGAAGAAAAAAAGAGGAUUUGUUCUCUCUGUGAAGACCUGUUUGCCUAACAGAGGCUGAUUUUUCCAAAUGCAUCAGCAGCUACAAUAAAAGACGUUGUCCCUCCCUGCAGUUAUCGCUCUGCCUAUAAUCUUAGGUACUGCCUGGACGCCUGGACAUCCACAUGGAAAAACAGCAGCUAUUUUUCAUUGUUUACUUUGUUUCUUACGCAUAUUUAUAAUGCAUGAGUAACUUUACAGAGUGCUUCUACAGGAACAUCCAGAAAUGAUCUCCCCACCGAGGUGACAAGGCGGCCACGUGGCUCAUAGCAAGAAGGGCCCAGAACAGGCAAAAGCAGGGUGUGGUGAGGACUUGCUUCCCUCUUCUGCCAUAACAAAGACUGAGGGCAAGCAGCUUGAGCCUUUUCUGUUCAGUGAAGACAAACUCUGACAGAUACGUGGUGGAGAUGAGGAGCAGGUCUGCCUUACCAGCCUCCCCCACAGCUCCGGCCCUCCGCCAUUUUCUUUCACCACAGGCGUGACAGGCCUGCGCCCUGUUUUGCACAAAGGCUCCCUCGAUUGUCAGUGCCAAGCAGACUCAAAAACCCAUAAGGUCUACAUUUCCAAAAUGCAGGAGCACAGAUGACUUUGGAAAGGUCCUCUUCCCCUCACUGCUAGGUCCUCUUCCCCUCACUGCUAGCUCUCCCCAGCCAGCAAGCCAGGGAAGCUCCAUGGGGUUAGUAGAGAACAUAAUUUCUUCUGGUCUACUGCUCAGAAGCCAGAGGGGGAAGGUUGAAGAGGGGUGGAAGGACAAAAAGAAGGCUGUAGGGCCUUCCAAGCCCACCUCCUUCAUUGUCUCCCUGUGUCUGAUAGUGCUCCUGGCUCAUGGAGCACCCAAGAAAGCGGAGGAAAUGUGGAUGGGCCCAGAUCCAGGCACGGUGGCCAACGCAACACCCAGCUCGUGUGGCAAAGCCCCAGAGAUGGCCCAAAAGCAGGGAGUGAGGAGCAAAGCCAGCAGACCAAGUGAAUCAGCAAGCAUCUGAGCGAAAAGCUUCAUCUUCUUUGGCUCAAAUUCUUGGCUGGUGUAUUAUAGAGAAAACCUGAGUGCCAGACCCACACAUGUGGCAAGCAACAUGAAAACAGCGUGUGUGUGUGCGUGGGAUGACAGAAAGACAAACAGAUACACGGCACCCUGCUAUUAAAGAAAACAAAGCUCGGAGAGCCAGAGCUUGGGAACCUGAGUGAGAGCAAAGAGAUGGGAGGCUGGCGAAGGAGAAGAAAGCCUCGAAAAAAACCACCCUGACGCCUGAUGUGCUGCUUUCCCAAGGUACUGCAAAUCAAAGAGGAUUUCUUCUGGGAAGAACAUGCUGAGUAGAAAGCCAGGUCCUUCUAGCAAAAACAGUCACAGCACUGCAGGAAAGCUUCCCUUUCCAAGAUGAAUCACUUUCCAAAAAAGCCAACCUCAUCUCCUGCGGCCGUACAGAGAAACGGGAAUGGCUGGAAACACACCAGCUGCCUCCCCCCAUCCUCUGGGUAUUUCAGUGCAGUGAUAUCAGCAGGACCCAGCCCUGCAGAGGUGGCCCCUGGCUGUUUCUGAGCAUACUCAGGUCCUGAGACAAAUCAGACAAAAGGAGCAGCCCUGGCCAGAGGGGCUGUGGAACAAAGAGUCACAACUGACUGACACGACCUCCUAGGAUAAGAGUAUUUGCUCCAGAAGUCUGGUGUCACUCCAGGGAUGUGCCACUUGAGCAUCCCUGGAAAAGGGUUUGUGUUGGAGGUUUGCUCUCAUUACCAAAACAGCUUUGGCGUUUCUGCUUUGUGAAUGGUGCAGGCAAGAUCUCCUGAAUCUUCAUGCACAAAAAUCAUGUUGGUGAGAAGUGUACGUGCACCCAAACAAGCUCCAGAAGCUGUCUCUGCUGCUGUCUGACCCACGAAGCAGAGACAGAAGCACUAUUUCCCAUGCAGCUCAAAAAUCCGUGUUAAAAUUGCUGUCCUCAACUCUAUCCUGGCAUAAAUACCAGCUUGUUCCAUCACAAAUUGUUCUUAGAGUAAAAUCAUAUCAGGGAUACAUGCACUGCCCUUUUCCAGAGCAGUCACUGAUAAUAAUGAGUUGAGGAGGGCAGGGACCGUCCAUGCCAGACCAGCUGAGAGCAGAAGCAGCCCUUCCACAGUCCUCCUUUCUCCAAGGCUUUCCUGCUUAGAAACCACCUGCACAACCACCCACAGCCCGUGGAGUUGUGCUUCUCACUCUCGCCACCCCGAGAAUCUGCAGCUGGUUCCCCACCAGCAGAUGUACCAGGAAAAACACUUAAGAUGCAUUGUGACUGACGGCCAGCGAUGAUGUGGAGAGAGCACCAGGAAGAGGGGAUAAAGAAGGACCUCCUGUCAAUAAGGAAUGACAAUUCUGAAUUAGAAAAUCACCCCAAAAGCUGGAUGCAACGACCCAGCCAGAGCAGCACCAGAGCGAUAUGUAACAGGCCCAGCGUGCUCCUAAGUCAGCUGCCAAAUUUAUUUUUUCUCCUCUAGCUGAUAACGAAUCCAUGCUGGAAGCUCGUGCCCAGCCCUGCUGCUCUUGAACUCUGAGUCUGCAAACAGCUGUGCGGUGACAAGUCUGUUAGUUUAGGCUAUUUUGGGAAGCAACCUGUCCUUUUUUUAGUCAUGAAGCACAUGAAAGGCACCACGGCAAAAUUUGGAUGCAAUUUCACAUCUUGAAAUUGCCUAGGCCUGCACUCCUUAUCUUUUCCUGUGCUGUCGCAAUGACACGGUGUAACCAGCAGCAGCACCCCUCUGGAGGCUCCCUGACCCCAAGCUGUCCUCUGCUGACCUCCUGCACAUCCCCAGGGGACUCGGGCUUCCAGUGAAUGUUCCUGAAGGUUCCUCAAAAAGCUGGGGAGCACUCUCCUCCUGCUGCAGCUUCCACUUCUUUACAAAGCUGAAGAGCAGCUGUCAGCCCAGAGAUGUGCUCCCUUCUCCACAGCCAAAGAGGCGAGGUUUGGCCAUCAUCAUGCGAAGGGAACACACGAUGUGAUCGUGGACUAGAUGCUGCACAUACCAUUUGCCAUGCUCCUCUGCAAAGCUGACGCUUCGAAACUGCCAGAAUGUUUUUCAACCAAACCGGGUAGUUAACACAAACUAAUUAUUUGCAUUUUGAGCUGCAAAUAGUUAUAUUUACAUAACUUCCACUUCCUUUUCAUCUGAGCAGUCAUCAUACUCCGGGAUUUGCUACUUCAAAUGUAAAAUGUCUUUUUUAAAACAGACAAACCAAAUAAAAACAUGGGCAGCAAGGGGAAAAAAUAUUGCUAACAAACUCUUUUCAGUAGAAUUGCCCUAAUUUUUGUUAAAUUAGGUACUUUGAGAGCAUGCUGCAUCUGUUUUACUUGCCAGAGUUCUUUUGCCUUACCUUAUGCAAUGCGAGAUUCAAAUCACGUUGAUUUACUAUGACAUGAUGCCUUAUUUAUAAGCCCAAAGUGUGAAUCUUUAUGGUGAGCAUCAGCAUAAUGUUUAGAUUCAUUUAUAUGAGAUAGAGUUUCUAGCUUCACCUGCAGUCACUGUGAAAAAUAGCAAGAGGAGAAAAAACAACAAUGCAAGAAAAACUGAAAAUCAAUUUUUUUUGUUCAUUGGGGAACAGCUUUAUUUCUUCUCUCAAAGAAUUCUUGCUGGGAAUGGAAAGCUGUCAAGAAACCACAAGAACAUCAGCUUUGCAGAACCGUCUUGAUAAGCUUUCAAUAGCACGGAGGGAGGAUUUGGGAUCCGCAGGGUUUUCCAGGUUCUUCUCAUGCCAAAAAUCCAGGGACUCCCCGACAAAGCAUUCCAGUCACGCAGAACAGCUUCCUCUCCUCCCUGGGAGCCUUUCUGCUGAUGCAUGAGCUCAGCCAGCAGCCCUGAUGUUCUUAGCUGCUCUAUCUAGAAACCUUCCAGGAGUGGGUUUUGCAAUUCAAAUCUUGAUUUCCCCUGGGGUUCGGUUCUUGAGGAAGAUUUAUGUGUCCUCAUCUUGGAGUUGCUGCUUGGAGCCCCAACUUUUGUUCUCUCGGGGAAAUAACCAAGCCAAUAAGUGGAAGUGAGAUUCCUUGCUAGCCAGGAACUCUGUGUUUGCUGAAAGUACCCUCCUUGCUAACUAAAGAAUGCCUUUUAAUACUUAUCCACUUAAAGUUGUUUAGAAGAUAAAGGGGGUGUCUAAGGCUCAGUGGCUUUCAUAGACCCACUUAGGUCAGAAGCCACCCAGCCCAAACUCCUGCUGAAUGCGAGGCCAACCUCUACCUGUCUGCCCAAGGCUACAUCCAAGCUUCCACAACUCCUCUGGUUGCUCCAGUACGUGAUCAUCCUCAGACUUCAUAACUCAGUUUCUGGUGUUCCGACCUGUGUCUGUUGCCUCUUGACCCUCCACUGCAUGCUGCUGAGAGAUCUGGCUCUGCUUUCUCUGCACCUUCCAUUUUAGUAGCUGUUGACAGUAACAUCUCCUGAGCCUUUCCUUCUCCAGGCUGAACGCCCCGUCUCUUCUCAUACAUCACAACCUCCAUCACAUUACUACUCAAAAACAUAAUAAUCCCCGGAUAGGAACAUCUCAAUGAAAAGCAAGAUUCAACUUUCCUCUUAUCUGUAAGAGCCUCUAAGCUAGAAGGAAAAGGGAUGGCUACUACUCCUGGUUUCAUGCGCGUAUUUUCAUAUGCCUGCUACACCAAGAAGAGCAAAGCUGCCUGCAGAAACACUGCACUUAUUGGGGCUUUUGUCAUUUUGCACAAGAGCCAGCUAACCAUAGAGGGAGGAAUCUCCCAGAAAUCUAAAACCUAGAGGAAUUAGAACAAAUGCAAACAAUAUCCACCACUCACUAGUUUGAGAGUUUUGAGGUAGUGGGCUGGUAGUUAAGCAUGUGGUCAAUAAGAAUUAGGAAGACUUCUGGAAUUAUUUCACAGAAACAUGGAAGAAAUACAGUGUUUAAAAUUUGUAACAUGAGAUGAAUCAAUUUAGGUAGUGUUAACCUGAGAUAGCAUGAUCAGAUAGUCUGUCAAGUGCUGAGGUCAAUUAUGCGAUUGUUCUGACACACCAAGUGUUGUAAGCAUCACUGGACAUGGAUAUGUUUUCACCUGGAAAAGGCUGCUUUAAAACAACCAACCAAAAAAAAAAAUACAACCUGGAAAGCCAGAUCUUCACUUUCUUUUUUUAAAAAAAAAAAUGUCUCCCCGCAUUGUAAUAAUUCUGUAGGUAUGGCUUAAAACAUACCGCAAGAUUUAUCACCUUAUUUAUGAUUUUCAGGCACGGCUCUGUACUUUUUCUUUUCAUUAGCUCAUAGCCUUUUCAAGCAGAGUUGUGUGAAGUAUAGCUAUCCCCUGUAACAUUCGCUGUAAAGCACACUGCUUUAAAACAAGAUGCAUCAUGGUAAUUACUGGCAUGAACACCUUUGGUCCCUUGGCUCAUGUUGAAAUUAAAUUUCACUGACUCGGUGUGCAGCACCAGAAGGCACUCAUCACAUUGGCAGCUUUCCUUACUUCCCUAAUUCCUGUAGGAGGUUCCCAAAUUGUUAUGAAAAGAGACAUACAAAAUUUGCUUCUCAGCUUUGCUCCAUUUUCUGAAAUGCUUGUUUUUUCCCUUUCAACUGAUUAUGUUUAGUACUUCUUUGCAACAUGCCAUCAUUUAAUUUAGCAACUACAGUAGCAUUACAAGAGCAACUUAUUUUAAGGAUUAGCUUACCAGUGUUUGCUGAUGUAUUUUAUAUUCCAAUUAAUAAAUCCCCAAAGAAACCACUUCUUUUGCUUAGAAUACAUAAAGGCUUUUAGAUCUGGUAUUUUUUCCUUCCCUCUCUAAAAUGGUUAUUUCUUCAAUCCUUUGUUUUGGUUUGUUGUCCUUAACUGAUGGAAAUGAGAUGAAUCCAGCUGUGACAGACUCAAGAUUUACUUCAGUACAAGACAUGUAUUGGAACAGGGCAGACAAAAACUUAGCACGAACAUCGUUUAAGCAAAAAUCCCAUUACCAUGAGAGUUUGUACUCUGCAAGCAUGGUGGGACGUACUUGGUGCUCAGAAAACAAGUAGAACACAGAGCACGUCUAAGAAAUUCCCUGAACAAACCUAGUCCAAAACUUGUAAUACGUAAGG